RNAcentral lists this ribosomal RNA (328 nucleotides) under uncultured eukaryote. RNAcentral describes it as "partial 18S ribosomal RNA". It matches the Rfam family "Eukaryotic small subunit ribosomal RNA", at positions 1470 to 1796 of the family's 1831-position model. The record is from RNAcentral.
CCCUUAGAUGUCCUGGGCUGCACGCGCGCUACACUGAUGUGUCCAGUAAGCACCUAACCUCUUCCGAAAGGAACGGGUAACCUUUGCAAAGCACAUCGUGAUGGGGAUAGAUUAUUGCAAUUAUUAGUCUUGAACGAGGAAUUCCUAGUAAGCACAAGUCAUCAGCUUGUGUUGAUUACGUCCCUGCCCUUUGUACACACCGCCCGUCGCUCCUACCGAUUGAAUGUUCCGGUGAAGCCUCGGGAUUGUGGUUCUUGCCGCUUUAUUGUGGCGUGACCGCGAGAACUUGUCUAAACCUUAUCAUCUAGAGGAAGGUGAAGUCGUAACA